Molecule: ribosomal RNA, 453 nt
Filed under: uncultured bacterium
Lineage: Bacteria
Description: bacterial SSU rRNA
Rfam family: Bacterial small subunit ribosomal RNA
Source: RNAcentral
UACGGAAGGCAGCAGUGGGGAAUAUUGCACAAUGGGCGCAAGCCUGAUGCAGCCAUGCCGCGUGUAUGAAGAAGGCCUUCGGGUUGUAAAGUACUUUCAGUCGUGAGGAAGGUGUUAAGGUUAAUAACCUUAGCAAUUGACGUUAGCGACAGAAGAAGCACCGGCUAACUCCGUGCCAGCAGCCGCGGUAAUACGGAGGGUGCGAGCGUUAAAUCGGAAUUACUGGGCGUAAAAGGGCACGCAGGCGGUUAAUUAAGUUGGAUGUGAAAUCCCCGGGCUUAACCUGGGAAUGGCAUUCAAGACUGGUUAGCUAGAGUCUUGUAGAGGGGGUAGAAUUCCAUGUGUAGCGGUGAAAUGCGUAGAGAUGUGGAGGAAUACCGGUGGCGAAAGGCGGCCCCUGGGACAAAGACUGACGCUCAUGUGCGAAAGCGUGGGGAGCAAAACAGGAUUAGA